This 71-nucleotide transfer RNA is filed under the name Papiliolebias bitteri. Its description in RNAcentral is "tRNA-Gln". It matches the Rfam family "tRNA". From Rfam's summary of the family: Transfer RNA (tRNA) molecules are approximately 80 nucleotides in length. Their secondary structure includes four short double-helical elements and three loops (D, anti-codon, and T loops). The record is from RNAcentral. Lineage: Eukaryota; Metazoa; Chordata; Actinopteri; Cyprinodontiformes; Rivulidae.
UAAAAAGUAGUGUAGAGGGUGCACUAGAGGUUUUGAUUCUCUCAGGGUGAGUUCGAUUCUCAUUUUUUUAA